UACGGAAGGCAGCAGUGGGGAAUAUUGCACAAUGGGCGCAAGCCUGAUGCAGCCAUGCCGCGUGUAUGAAGAAGGCCUUCGGGUUGUAAAGUACUUUCAGUCGUGAGGAAGGUGUUAAGGUUAAUAACCUUAGCAAUUGACGUUAGCGACAGAAGAAGCACCGGCUAACUCCGUGCCAGCAGCCGCGGUAAUACGGAGGGUGCGAGCGUUAAUCGGAAUUACUGGGCGUAAAGGGCACGCAGGCGGUUAAUUAAGUUGGAUGUGAAAUCCCCGGGCUUAACCUGGGAAUGGCAUUCAAGACUGGUUAGCUAGAGUCUUGUAGAGGGGGUAGAAUUCCAUGUGUAGCGGUGAAAUGCGUAGAGAUGUGGAGGAAUACCGAUGGCGAAGGCAGCCAUCUGGCCUAAUACUGACGCUGAGGUACGAAAGCAUGGGGAGCAAACAGGAUUAGAUAACC
This 454-nucleotide ribosomal RNA is filed under the name uncultured bacterium. RNAcentral's name for it is "bacterial SSU rRNA". It matches the Rfam family "Bacterial small subunit ribosomal RNA", at positions 340 to 787 of the family's 1533-position model. The record is from RNAcentral.